CCUUAACCCUAGUCAAUCCAGCCUGUUCAGCAAAUGAGGAGCGACUACAGGCAUCCGGGGAACGAAAUUAAUGAGAGGGUGUCAGCAAAGGGAGGGGCUCUCCAUCCUAACCCAGAAGCCCAUUCUGGCUUCGGUACUGCGCCAUUCGACUGCAGCACGUCUCGGCCCCGGUUUAUUGCGGCUGAACAGCCCUUGUCGCCAAGGUUCCGGGCCAGCUUCCGCUGCCGCGGCUUCCUGAGCGCCGCCUCCGUAGCCCCGCCCAGGCCGCUCCACCGCCGCAGUCACUGCAGUCCUUGUCGCUGCCGGUAGCCUGUCGCUUGUCUCCUCCUGCGCCGCCGCCGCCGCCGCCGCCGCCGCCGCCUGAUAGCCCGGGCCUUCGCAGCUGCCUCCGGAGCGUCCAUCAUAAUUCUUCAACUGGAAGAUAUCAUUGGAGAUAUUGGAGAGGAAUGGGACAGGAGAAGGAGGAGAUCAUGGGAGGAAGAAGACAAAAGUGGAAGUAGAUAAGGGAGAGAAAAAGGGUGAAAUCAUUUUGCAUCUGUACAUCACAGCUGGUCUCAAGGCCAGGAUGAGAUGACGAGAGACUGGCAACAGCAGCAGCAGCAGCAAAGUUUGCUAAAGAAGUUAUAGAAGAGCACUUAGAAGUUGUAGACAGAAGGGUCAGGAAUUCAACGUUAUACUUAGCCACAGAGCAAAUUAUGGAGUACUGGGGUACUUGCAAACCUGUCUCAAAAACAAAUGGGGACUGGAGAUGAGGUUAAUAACCUUUAUAACCUUUUUUUAGUUCCAAUGGGUUCUGUGCUUUCUUCUGGCCUUUGGAACCAAGAAUGCAUGAAGUGCACAUACAUAAAUUCAGGCAAAAACUAUACACAUGAAUUUAUUUUAAAUCUCUUAAAAAUAAUUAAUAAUCAUUGAAGAAUUGAGCUGACUGAAAAAAUAUUAGCACAAUCCAUAGUAAUGCCCAACAGGACUCACACUGGCCAUACAGGUGUAUUUUCAUUUAAGAUGCUGUGGGGUAUGCACUGGGAAGAAUAAAAUUGGAGUUGAAUUUACUCAAGAAUUAUAGGAGCUGGGAAAUUCAUAUAUAUAUAUAUGUAUAUACAUAUACAUAUAUAUAUAUAUGUGUGUGUGUAUAUAUAUGCACACACACACACUCUCAUUUGAGCUUUUUAUAACCACCAUAAAUAAUGGUGCAAUAAUAAGUAUAAUUUAUUAACUUUUAAGCAAUUAUAAAUGAUAUGAGUACUGUAUGGGGUUUGCUGUUAUGACAGAUUAAAAAACUGAAUAUCCUAAAAUUGAUGGGGAUUUAGAUUUUGAGAGGAUUAGUAAACUUGAGAAACAAGUGGUAAAAAAUAAAAACAUUAGUAUGGAAAUUGUUCAACUAUACAUUUAUGUUACACCUGAAUGUAAACAGACUUCUCAUUCAUUUUCAGGCUUCCCAGACCCAAAUAAUCACACAAACUGUAUUGAUUACAACUGUGUUUUGCUAAUAGCUUAGGUGUAUUCCUAGAUAAUAACGAAGGAGACAGACACUGGAAAAUUAACCAGUAGGGCACAAUCUUGUGGUGAUGCAUAGAUCAAUAGAAAUGACUUAAUUUAAGAUGUAACAGUUAGUUAAUAAGAAGCCUGAGAUAAUAGAUCAAGCUGUGUUUUA
Long non-coding RNA from Myodes glareolus (Bank vole), 1651 nucleotides. RefSeq lists it as uncharacterized. The record is from RefSeq and is a predicted model, not a curated record. Lineage: Eukaryota; Metazoa; Chordata; Mammalia; Rodentia; Cricetidae.